UGGUGUCCUAGGCGUAGAGGAACCACACCAAUCCAUCCCGAACUUGGUGGUUAAACUCUACUGCGGUGACGAUGCGGUAGUAUAUAUAAGGGAUCAAUAGCUGAUACCACUCC
RNAcentral lists this ribosomal RNA (113 nucleotides) under Melastoma candidum. RNAcentral also lists the same sequence under 2 other names. The record is from RNAcentral. Lineage: Eukaryota; Viridiplantae; Streptophyta; Magnoliopsida; Myrtales; Melastomataceae.